Molecule: ribosomal RNA, 497 nt
Filed under: uncultured bacterium
Lineage: Bacteria
Description: partial 16S ribosomal RNA
Rfam family: Bacterial small subunit ribosomal RNA
Source: RNAcentral
GAUGAACGCUGGCGGCGUGCCUAAUACAUGCAAGUCGAGCGAACAGAUGAGGAGCUUGCUCCUCUGACGUUAGCGGCGGACGAGUGAGUAGCACGUGGAUAACCUACCUAUAAGACUGGGAUAACUUCGGGAAACCGGAGCGAAUACCGGGUAAUAUAUUGAACCUCAUGGUUCAAUGGUGAAAGACGGUUUUGCUGUCACUUAUGGAUGGAUCCGCGCCGGAUUAGCUAGUUGGUAAGGUAACGGCUUACCAAGGCAACGAUGAGUAGCCGACCUGAGAGGGGGAUCGGCCACCAUGGAACUGAGACGCGGCCCAGCAGACUACGGGAGGCAGCAGUAGGGAAUCUUCCGGCAUGGGCGAAAGCCUGACGGAGCAACGCCGCGUGAGUGAUGAAGGUCUUCGGAUCGUAAAACUCUGUUAUUAGGGAAGAACCAAUGUGUAAGUAACUAUGCACGGCUUGACGGUACCUAAUCAGAAAGCCACGGCUAACUACGUG